Molecule: long non-coding RNA, 824 nt
Organism: Helianthus annuus (common sunflower)
Lineage: Eukaryota; Viridiplantae; Streptophyta; Magnoliopsida; Asterales; Asteraceae
Exons: 3
Source: RefSeq, a predicted model, not a curated record
CCCACACAUUUGUUCUCUUUGGUAAAUCGCAAACCUUCUGAUUUUUUUUUAUUAUUAACGGUCAAAAAGUGAAGGGGGCCCACCAUAUUUGGUUCGUCGCAAACGGCGACAUCUCGACGAUGAGGACGAUGACGGAGGGGGCGGCGUGGACGGCGACAUCUCGACGAUGAGGACCAAAAGUUUACAGGGGCGGACAUACAUAUAGCCCAAGGUGGGCGGGCGCACCCCCGGGAAAACAAAUUUUAGUGCUAUUUUCCGUUGAAAAUCCCGUCUGCACCCCUUGGAUUUUUUCGUCCGCACCCCUUGAAUUUUUUCAUCCGCACCCCUUGGAAUUUUUCGUCCACACACCUUAGGUAAAAAAUGUUUUCGAUUUAUAUUUUAAAUUUUUUUAGUAAACUCUAAUUAAAAAAACUACCUAAAUUAUAUAAACUUAUACUACCCAACUUAACCCAAAUACCCAAUACCUUAACCCACUAUUUCAUUAAACGUAAUUAGCCCACUAAUUACUAGCCCAUUAACCAAACUCAACCUAAGUUCAAACUAUAAUAAUUAAAAUAAGCCCAAUAGUCCCUUAGAAUUCAUCCCGCCCUCCCUCUCUUGGGUCGUCUCCUACCAGCGAUCAUCGACCACAACAGCAACCACAACAGCACGUCAUCAGCAGCCGCGAACCACCGCCGUCUGACACCAAAGGGAACCAUGAGUAGGGACGUUAUGGCGCAAUUUCUUGUGUUUUACAUGACCCGACCCGAACCGACCCGAUACGAACCGAUUUUUUUACUUAUACACCUAGGGGCCUAAAAUUUUUAAAAAUGUUUCGCACCCCC